UACGGAGGAUCCAAGCGUUAUCCGGAUUUAUUGGGUUUAAAGGGUGCGUAGGCGGUUAAUUAAGUCAGAGGUGAAAGCCUUCAGCUCAACUGGAGAAAUGCCUUUGAUACUGGUUAACUUGAGUACUGAUGAAGUGGGCGGAAUGUGUCAAGUAGCGGUGAAAUGCAUAGAUAUGACACAGAACACCGAUUGCGAAGGCAGCUCACUAAGGAGUAACUGACGCUGAGGCACGAAAGCGUGGGGAUCAAAC
RNAcentral lists this ribosomal RNA (250 nucleotides) under uncultured bacterium. Its description in RNAcentral is "partial 16S ribosomal RNA". It matches the Rfam family "Bacterial small subunit ribosomal RNA", at positions 524 to 773 of the family's 1533-position model. The record is from RNAcentral.